GUCAAAUCAUCACUUGCCCCUUAUGGACCUGGGCUACACACGUGCUACGAAUGGUUGGUACAACGAGUUGCGAGUCGGUGACGGCGAGCUAAUCUCUUAAAGACCAAUCUCAGUUCGGAUUGUAGGCUGACAACUCGCCUACAUGAAGUCGGAAUCGCUAGUAAUCGCGGAUCAGCACGCCGCGGUGAAUACGUUCCCGGGCCUU
This 205-nucleotide ribosomal RNA is filed under the name uncultured Streptococcus sp. RNAcentral's name for it is "partial 16S ribosomal RNA". It matches the Rfam family "Bacterial small subunit ribosomal RNA", at positions 1184 to 1382 of the family's 1533-position model. The record is from RNAcentral. Lineage: Bacteria; Bacillati; Bacillota; Bacilli; Lactobacillales; Streptococcaceae.